RNAcentral lists this ribosomal RNA (474 nucleotides) under uncultured organism. RNAcentral's name for it is "partial 16S ribosomal RNA". It matches the Rfam family "Bacterial small subunit ribosomal RNA", at positions 333 to 798 of the family's 1533-position model. The record is from RNAcentral.
ACACUCCUACGGGAGGCAGCAGUGGGGAAUAUUGCACAAUGGGCGCAAGCCUGAUGCAGCCAUGCCGCGUGUAUGAAGAAGGCCUUCGGGUUGUAAAGUACUUUCAGCGGGGAGGAAGGCGAUAAGGUUAAUAACCUUGUUGAUUGACGUUACCCGCAGAAGAAGCACCGGCUAACUCCGUGCCAGCAGCCGCGGUAAUACGGAGGGUGCAAGCGUUAAUCGGAAUUACUGGGCGUAAAGCGCACGCAGGCGGUCUGUCAAGUCGGAUGUGAAAUCCCCGGGCUCAACCUGGGAACUGCAUUCGAAACUGGCAGGCUAGAGUCUUGUAGAGGGGGGUAGAAUUCCAGGUGUAGCGGUGAAAUGCGUAGAGAUCUGGAGGAAUACCGGUGGCGAAGGCGGCCCCCUGGACAAAGACUGACGCUCAGGUGCGAAAGCGUGGGGAGCAAACAUGAUUAGAAACCCGAGUAGUCCCAU